GACGAACGCUGGCGGCGUGCUUAACACAUGCAAGUCGUACGGUAAGGCCCUUUCGGGGGUCCACGAGUGGCGAACGGGUGAGUAACACGUGAGUAACCUGCCCACAACUUUGGGAUAACGCUAGGAAACUGGUGCUAAUACUGGAUAUGUGCUCCUGCUGCAUGGUGGGGGUUUGAAAGCUCCGGCGGUUGUGGAUGGACUCGCGGCCUAUCAGCUUGUUGGUGGGGUAGUGGCCUACCAAGGCGGCGACGGGUAGCCGGCCUGAGAGGGUGACCGGCCACAUUGGGACUGAGAUACGGCCCAGACUCCUACGGGAGGCAGCAGUGGGGAAUAUUGCACAAUGGGCGCAAGCCUGAUGCAGCAACGCCGCGUGCGGGAUGACGGCCUUCGGGUUGUAAACCGCUUUCAGCAGGGACGAAGCUUUUUGUGACGGUACCUGCAGAAGAAGCACCGGCUAACUACGUG
This 465-nucleotide ribosomal RNA is filed under the name uncultured bacterium. RNAcentral describes it as "partial 16S ribosomal RNA". It matches the Rfam family "Bacterial small subunit ribosomal RNA", at positions 28 to 507 of the family's 1533-position model. The record is from RNAcentral.